AGCGAACGCUGGCGGCAGGCUUAACACAUGCAAGUCGAACGCCCCGCAAGGGGAGUGGCAGACGGGUGAGUAACACGUGGGAACGUACCCUUUGGUUCGGAAUAACUUGGGGAAACUCAAGCUAAUACCGGAUAAGCCCUUAUGGGGAAAGGUUUACUGCCGAAGGAUCGGCCCGCGUCUGAUUAGCUAGUUGGUGAGGUAAUGGCUCACCAAGGCGACGAUCAGUAGCUGGUCUGAAAGGAUGAUCAGCCACACUGGUACUUAGACACGGCCCAGACUCCUACGGGAGGCAGCAGUGGGGAAUGUUGGACAAUGGGUGCAACCCUGAUCCAGCCAUGCCGCGUGAGUGAUGAAGGCCUUAGGGUUGUAAAGCUCUUUUACCCGGGACGAUAAUGACUGUACCGGGAGAAUAAGCCCCGGCUAACUUCGUGCCAGCCGCCGCGGUAA
Molecule: ribosomal RNA, 447 nt
Filed under: uncultured bacterium
Lineage: Bacteria
Description: partial 16S ribosomal RNA
Rfam family: Bacterial small subunit ribosomal RNA
Source: RNAcentral